AUUUUUUUUCCCUAGCUGAACCGUUUGUAAACUUGGUUGAUCAUUUCCUCUCAUACUAUUUACUAACAUUUUGGAUUCUGCAUCAUCAUUAUAAAAAUAAUCAUGAUGGACUGUAGAACAUACAGCGGUCUUUUUUAUAAGGUUAUCAUAGGCAACCAUUAGAAACUAUGAUUUUGAUGAUUUAUGUUGAUCAUGACGCUAAUAUAUGUAAGGCCUUAAGCUGUAUCAAAGUUCAACUCAUUGGAAUGAAUGUGAUCAUGCUUGAAUUAUGCAGUAUACAUCAUCUCACUUUAAUGUCAUAAUAUUUUGGUAUUAGAAGAAACAUUUUUAUGUGAUUUGAUUCAAACCAAUGGAGCAGAUUGGAUAAUUGAUCUAAACAUUGUACUCCACUGUUUGUGAAUUGUAUAAUUGAUCACUUACGAUAACUUUGGUGGACAACUGAUUACUGGGAAUGAAAGUUAUGAAACCUAUUUGAUUAUAGUAGUUUGUUGAUAAAGAGUAGGGAUUUGAAACAGCUGCAAUCAUGAAGGGCUUUUUACUCCCAUUGAGGCUUAGAACUCAUACAACACGAUAGGGUGUAAUACUAGUAUCUGGUACUUAAUGUCAAAGAUCUUUACAGUUGUCAAUAUUUAUUGGUCUACGUUGUGUUCAUUUCACAUUUUUGUCAGUUUAACAUCUAAAUAAAGCUGAAAGAUUGUGAUUUGCAAUUACAACAUGAUGAGAAAAGCAAUUCACAUAAGCACCAUUGUUGUGUGGCUGAUGACCUGGCUUUUUAACCACUUGAAGUGCACAUUGUUAUCGCUUUUAAGCAAUGGUGAAGUAAAGAACUUAGCAAAAUCUUUCACUGUUGUAAGUGUCGACAUUGAUUUUCUAUCAUCUUGCAACUUACAUCUCUUUAGAUAUAGGUGGUCCGUGGUCAUACCUGAUUCUUUUUUACGUGACAAUUUUAGGAAAUUCCAUUUAGUCUCAAUUAUUGGUUAUGGCUAUCAAGACUGUGCUUUCAAUUUGCAUUUAAUAAAAUUCUGUACAUAAAAGUUUUUAUUUUUGUUUGCUGGAUAAGCAUAACGUGAGCACUCAUUUAGUCAUUGGGUGUUUAUUGGAGAAAAUGUUGUGAAGACCUGCAAGCUGAAGGAUAUUGCUACUGCCUUUGAUUUCUUGGGCUGGCAUAUGAAAAUGUUAAAAAUUGACCAGACUGUUUUUCCUGCCAAGAAGCCAAGGGUGCUUUAUUGUAGUACUCAUUUGAUGCAUUAUCAAUUCAAUGGUAGCUGGUUUGGUUCUCUUCAGUUUUCAGCUCAUUUUCUCGACAGAGUUUUUUGACCCAUAGAUCACCAACCAUACUGUAACAUGAUUUUCUUUCUAAUACAUCCCAAUGGCCAAGUCCUAAAAUUCUGUCCCAUCUUUAGUUCUCGUACAUUAUGAUGCCAGAUUGCCAGUUUAGGAUUUGUUUACAUUUAUAGUAUUCGCAAUUUCAGUUUAUAUGUGAGUUUAUUGCAAACUUAAUGUGACACAUUUUUCUGUUGUCGAUUGUAGGAAUUGAUUAUUUAUCUGUUGCCGCCUGGACUGAUUUGAUUCCAUCUCAUCUCGUCUUUCUAAAGAGCAGGGAAAUCAUUCUUGUAGAAGCCUUAAAACUUGAUAACGUUCAACCUGGAAUAUAUUCUGUCCACUGCUUACCUCUAAGGUUGCUUGGUGCUGAGGGAUCCCCAAUAAGAUGCAUUCUCAUCAAAUAAUUAUUUUUUUCAGUGCACAAUAUGGCCUUAGGAGUCAAAAGCAGAAUAAGUCGGUGUAAAAUGAGACUGUAAAUGAUCAUAAGGAGGGAUGCCGUUUAAACAUGUUUUUUUGGUGUGUUUGCCCUCAUUACAUAAACUUAUUUGAGAAUUAUCUUAAACUAGUCAUUUGCCUUUGCCUGUACGAUGUGUCAGUUUUAAAAUUUAUUAAAUUAUUAUUAUUUAAAUUUGUAGUGUCAUUUUACUUUUUCACUACAAGAUUUUUCUAGAUUAUAAAUAGAUAUUUCCAUUGGUAAUGUGAAAAUCCGUUUAUAAAAUUAUUUACAAAACAAAGUCGGUUUGUAUAAUUCUUGUUUGUAA
Molecule: unclassified non-coding RNA, 2084 nt
Filed under: Hevea brasiliensis (rubber tree)
Lineage: Eukaryota; Viridiplantae; Streptophyta; Magnoliopsida; Malpighiales; Euphorbiaceae
Source: RNAcentral